RNAcentral lists this ribosomal RNA (274 nucleotides) under uncultured bacterium. RNAcentral's name for it is "partial 16S ribosomal RNA". It matches the Rfam family "Bacterial small subunit ribosomal RNA", at positions 523 to 796 of the family's 1533-position model. The record is from RNAcentral.
AUACGGAGGGUGCGAGCGUUAAUCGGAAUUACUGGGCGUAAAGCGUGCGUAGGCGGUUUGCUAAGUCAGAUGUGAAAGCCCCGGGCUUAACCUGGGAACUGCAUUUGAUACUGGCAGACUAGAGUAUGAUAGAGGGGGGUAGAAUUCCUGGUGUAGCGGUGAAAUGCGUAGAUAUCAGGAGGAAUACCAGUGGCGAAGGCGGCCCCCUGGAUCAAUACUGACGCUGAGGUACGAAAGCGUGGGGAGCGAACAGGAUUAGAUACCCCAGUAGUCC